CCUACGGGUGGCUGCAGUGAGGAAUAUUGCGCAAUGGGGGCAACCCUGACGCAGCAACGCCGCGUGAGUGAGGAAGGUUUUCGGACCGUAAAGCUCUGUCGAGCGGGAAGAAAUGCAUAAUGGCUAAUAUCCUUUAUGUUUGACGGUACCGCUAAAGGAAGCACCGGCUAACUCCGUGCCAGCAGCCGCGGUCAUACGGGGGGUGCUAGCGUUGUUCGGGAGCAUUGGGCGGGCUGGACGUGUAGGCGGUGAAAGCCCUGGGCUUAACUCAGGAAGUGCAUUUGAAACUGUUCAGCUGGAGUAAGGGAGAGGAAAGUGGAAUUCCUGGUGUAGAGGUGAAAUUCGUAGAUAUCAGGAGGAACACCGGUGGCGAAGGCGACUUUCUGGCCCUAUACUGACGCUGAGACGCGAGAGCGUGGGUAGCAAACAGGAUUAGAUACCCCGGUAGUC
RNAcentral lists this ribosomal RNA (450 nucleotides) under uncultured bacterium. RNAcentral describes it as "partial 16S ribosomal RNA". It matches the Rfam family "Bacterial small subunit ribosomal RNA", at positions 338 to 795 of the family's 1533-position model. The record is from RNAcentral.